GCGGAUGUGGCGGAAUUGGCAGACGCGCUAGAUUUAGGUUCUAGUGCCGCAAGGCGUGAAGGUUCAAGUCCUUUCAUCCGCACUA
Molecule: transfer RNA, 85 nt
Filed under: Scytonema tolypothrichoides VB-61278
Lineage: Bacteria; Bacillati; Cyanobacteriota; Cyanophyceae; Nostocales; Scytonemataceae
Also listed under: 1 other name
Description: tRNA-Leu
Rfam family: tRNA
About the family: Transfer RNA (tRNA) molecules are approximately 80 nucleotides in length. Their secondary structure includes four short double-helical elements and three loops (D, anti-codon, and T loops). Further hydrogen bonds mediate the characteristic L-shaped molecular structure. tRNAs have two regions of fundamental functional importance: the anti-codon, which is responsible for specific mRNA codon recognition, and the 3' end, to which the tRNAs corresponding amino acid is attached (by aminoacyl-tRNA synthetases). tRNAs cope with the degeneracy of the genetic code in two manners: having more than one tRNA (with a specific anti-codon) for a particular amino acid; and 'wobble' base-pairing, i.e. permitting non-standard base-pairing at the 3rd anti-codon position.
Source: RNAcentral